This 1050-nucleotide long non-coding RNA is filed under the name Ursus maritimus (polar bear). Its description in RNAcentral is "lncRNA (ENSUMAG00000013186.1)". Lineage: Eukaryota; Metazoa; Chordata; Mammalia; Carnivora; Ursidae. The record is from RNAcentral.
CCGAGCAGUCAGCCAGAGGACAAACAUUGGCCUGCGGGAGUCAGUGGAAAAGUCCAGCCGUUUGUCAAGUGGACAGCUAUGGAGGUUGUCAGCCAUGAGGAAUAAGCAGUUUGUACUGGCCUCAAGCUUCCCUGAAGAAAGAGCUGCCCCACAGGCGUAUUUCUUAACACUGGGGGCAAUACCUAACUUGUGGCCCAUAAAACAAAACUUUUCAAAUUGACUUUUUGCCUAAUUCUUUUCUACGUUAAUCCACCCAUUCCUCGGACAGAUCCAAUGUCCGAGAAGCAGUUGUAAAGAACCAGGAGGGAGACUAGUAUCUUUACAGCCAGAAGCCCGAGACAUGACUUUUAUGCCCUGAUGGUGGGGGUGUAAGUCAAAAGUCUUACCUAUAUAUUUACCAUAGUAGUUUUACCUCUAGGAAUUUAUAUAAGGGAAAUUUAUUUAAGAAACAUGCUCACAACAUAUUGAGUUUAAAACAUGGAAAAUAAGAGCCAGGUAAUAAAAGAAUAUGUACCAUUUAUUACCAUAACCAUUUUUAUAUAUAUAUAAAAAAGCAAUAACCCAAAAGCUCAGUAAUAGAGGGCUUUCUAAGUCCUUGUUCUAAGUACUUCAGAGACGCUGAUUUGUUUAAUCCUUACGCUGUUAGGUGCCGUUAUUAUCCCCAUUUUACAGAUGAAGAAACUAACGCGCAGAGAGGUUGGAAAGCCUGCUGAUAUCAUAUGCUAGCGAGCUGUGGAGCUGAGACUGGGCAGGCUCUGAGGUCUGUGCUCUUCCCACUGCACACUGCCUCUCAGUAUGGAAAAAAGACUGGAAGGACAUUCCCUCAACACCUUAACAGUGGUUAUCUCUGGGAGGGGGAAGAACUGAGGAAAUGAAUCUCCCCAGACACCCAGCUUUCUUCUCUGAUAAACUGUCAAGGGAAGAGCCUUUGAGUCUUUUACGGCUGGGAUGGAGCCUCGUUCACUGUUGUAUCCCCAGGGCUUGGCAGAGUGCCUGCCUCGAAGAAGGCACCAGAUAAAUCUUGGUUAAAUAAAUGUUUUGUAUUAAACA